This 403-nucleotide ribosomal RNA is filed under the name Fusobacteriota bacterium. RNAcentral describes it as "Fusobacteria bacterium partial 16S ribosomal RNA". It matches the Rfam family "Bacterial small subunit ribosomal RNA", at positions 355 to 776 of the family's 1533-position model. The record is from RNAcentral. Lineage: Bacteria; Fusobacteriati; Fusobacteriota.
UGGGGAAUAUUGCACAAUGGAGGGAACUCUGAUGCAGCGACGCCGCGUGAGUGAUGAAGGAAUUCGUUUCGUAAAACUCUGUUCUAUGGGAAGAAAAGGACUGUACCAUAGGAGAAAGCUCCGGCUAAAUACGUGCCAGCAGCCGCGGUAAUACGUAUGGAGCGAGCGUUGUCCGGAAUUAUUGGGCGUAAAGGGUGCGCAGGCGGAAAUGCAAGUCAGUUGUGAAAGGCAGAGGCUCAACCUCUGUAAGCAAUUGAAACUGUAUUUCUUGAGAUGUGGAGAGACAAGUGGAAUUCCUAGUGUAGCGGGGAAAUGCGUAGAUAUGAGGAAGAAUACCGUUGGCGAAGGCGACUUGCUGGACACAAACUGACGCUGAGGAACGAAAGCGUGGGUAGCAAACAGG